RNAcentral lists this ribosomal RNA (1242 nucleotides) under metagenome. RNAcentral describes it as "bacterial LSU rRNA". It matches the Rfam family "Bacterial large subunit ribosomal RNA", at positions 1564 to 2816 of the family's 2925-position model. The record is from RNAcentral.
UGAAUACGAGACGCUAAGGCGUUGAAGUAGUGUAUGUCAUACUUCCAAGAAAAGCUUGCACUGUCAUAGAUAAAAAACGCCUGUACCAUAACCGACACAGGUGGGUAGGUAGAGUAUACUAAGGGGCGCGAGAUAACUCUCUCUAAGGAACUCGGCAAAAUAACUCCGUAACUUCGGGAGAAGGAGUGCCUUAUUUAUAAGGCUGCAAUAACAAGAUCCAAGCAACUGUUUAUCAAAAACACAGGUCUCCGCUAAGUCGUAAGACGAUGUAUGGGGGCUGACGCCUGCCCAGUGCCAGAAGGUUAAAGAAGUUGGUUAGCAAUAGCGAAGCUGAUAACUGAAGCCCUGGUGAACGGCGGCCGUAACUAUAACGGUCCUAAGGUAGCGAAAUUCCUUGUCGGGUAAGUUCCGACCCGCACGAAAGGCGUAAUGAUUUGGAUACUGUCUCGGAGAGGGGCUCGGUGAAAUAGACUUGUCUGUGAAGAUGCGGACUACCUGCACCAGGACAGAAAGACCCUAUGAAGCUUUACUGUAACUUGAAAUUGAAAUUGGACUUUAUUCGCGCAGUAUAGGUGGGAGGCGUUGAUUGUAAUCUUGCGGGAUUAUUGGAGCCAUCAGUGAGAUACCACCCUUGUAAUGUUAGAUUUCUAACUUUGAAUCAUUAUCUGGUCAAAGAACAGUUUCAGGCGGACAGUUUGACUGGGGCGGUCGCCUCCUAAACGGUAACGGAGGCGUACAAAGGUUUCCUCUGAACGGUUAGAAAUCGUAUCUAGAGUGUAAAGGCAUAAGGAAGCUUGACUGUGAGACCUACAAGUCGAGCAGGGACGAAAGUCGGUCUUAGUGAUCUGACGGUACUGAGUGGAAAGGCCGUCACUCAACGGAUAAAAGUUACUCUAGGAUAACAGGCUGAUCUCCCCCAAGAGUUCACAUCGACGGGGAGGUUUGGCACCUCGAUGUCGGCUCAUCGCAUCCUGGGGCGGUAGUACGUCCCAAGGGUUGGGCUGUUCGCCCAUGAAAGCGGUACGCGAGCUGGGUUCAGAACGUCGUGAGACAGUUCGGUCCAUAUCCGGUGUAGGCGUUAGAAUAUUGAGAGGAGCCUUCUUUAGUACGAGAGGACCGAGAAGGACAUACCUCUGGUGUACCAGUUAUCGUGCCAACGGUAAACGCUGGGUAGCUAUGUAUGGAGUGGAUAACCGCUGAAAGCAUCUAAGUGGGAAGCCCACCUCAAGAUAAGUAUUCUCA